CAGCAGCCACGGGAAUACGGAGGGUGCAAGCGUUAUCCGGAUUCACUGGGUUUAAAGGGUGCGUAGGCGGAUCUGUAAGUCAGUGGUGAAAUCUCCAGGCUUAACCUGGAAACUGCCGUUGAUACUAUAGGUCUUGAAUUUUGUGGAGGUUAGCGGAAUAUGUCAUGUAGCGGUGAAAUGCAUAGAUAUGACAUAGAACACCAAUUGCGAAGGCAGCUGGCUACACAACUAUUGACGCUGAGGCACGAAAGCGUGGGGAUCAAACAGGAUUAGAUACCCGCGUAGUCCCUGUCUCUUAUAC
RNAcentral lists this ribosomal RNA (301 nucleotides) under uncultured bacterium. RNAcentral describes it as "partial 16S ribosomal RNA". It matches the Rfam family "Bacterial small subunit ribosomal RNA", at positions 509 to 807 of the family's 1533-position model. The record is from RNAcentral.